CUCAAGAGCCGGGUCACGGGUCGGUUAUCGGGUCGGUUUUUCCGGUGCUACACGAAAGAUCCGAAACGUGGUAGCUACCAGGUACGGAUCUCACAGCUGCAACAAUCUUCCUGCGCACAGUAUAUCUCUGGAAGAUUAUGAAGGACAAUUGCUUGAUCUCCUAUUAGGAUAGUCAUUGGCAGGGCUUGAUAUAUCGAUUACUCCUUCUGAUAGUCUUCUGCAAUUACUCAUCUUAUUGGAUGAAUUCUAGGUCUGAUGGCUUCGUUGAGUGGCUGUGUGAAUUCUUCUUCGGGAAGUUUCUCUCUGGCGUUGCGGCGGCGAGGUUUUCUUUGGGAUUCACCUGUUCUUCGCCUUCAUCUACCAGCCAACUACGAUGCUUUCUCCGACAUCGAUGACGACAGUGUUUUCGCCGUCAUUGUCUCACUCGCCAAACACUUUCUGUUGCAUUGUCAAGGAGUUGUGGGUUAUCUUGGUUUGAAUUUGUUUGUGAGGAGGAUCUACAAAAACAUCAAGUGUGACUAAGGCAACUGUUCAAGUCGAAACUAGAGCAAUUUCCUAUGAUGGUUACGAGAGACAAUAAAUUGUUGGAGGAAGCCUCUGGUCAUAUGUGGAGGACCAAACCAGCUUCUUUCAACAUCAAAAGGGAAUGCAUGCCAAAAGUGGAGCAUCCAGAAUCUUAUGCUGGUCCAUAAGUUGCAAAACAAUGUAAUGUAUAUCAGUGUGAUGCCUUUGUCCCAGUGAUUGACAAUUCAGUCUCUUGGAAGAAAGCAGUACAAAAUGAUGUAUUGUCAAGGUAUUUCAAGAAUAAUCAUUGUUCUUACUUCUGAAAUUUUUACUUGCAUCUUUAGAUAGGGAUGUAAACGCUUAUUUAGAAGCUAAUCUGAGCAGUCUAUGAAAGUAAGCUCAUAGUUGUACUCAUAGUUGCAUCCUUAUACUCAUUAGUUAUAUUUACUUUAGCUUUAUUUUAUGCUGAUACUUUAGUACCUAAGUUUCCUUGCAAAUUUUAUAAAGCUUUAACCACUAAUCAUCUCUUAAUUAUUUUUCUUCUUUCUAAAGGGUAAACACACAUUCAUAUGACAACAAAUUAAAUGAUAUGCAUUUUGUUUAAAUAGCUCACAUUGGGAGCAGGAGGUAUAACAGUAAAAGUGUUUCUGAUUUGCAUAUUUUUUUUGUUUCAUCUUAGAGAUUUAGAUUUUAGAUUGGUGAACCGUUGCACUAACACAUAGCUCAUUUUAUGGAGUGAUUACUCAAAGUUAUAUAAAUAUUCUUCAACUUAGUGUGAUUUCAAGGAUUCUCAGGGAUAUUUUACUCCCCUCUCGUCUAUGUUGCAGGAUUCUCAGGGAUAUUUUAGUGUUAUUUUUUGCGGGAUUUGAGUAAUGAUAUAGACUAUUCAGAUACACAGUUUUGGAUUUUUUAAAAGUUUUACAGGUUAACAUUCAGACAAAGUCUGAAGUACAUAUAUUUAUACCAGGUAGUUUGUACAUUCGAACAAACUGUACUUCGACAUGUUUGUGCUUGCCUUCUUACUUCAUUAUGUGGUUGAAGUUAGAAUUUCUUCUGCAAUAUAUAUUUAUGUACCUUUUCCUCCUCUUUUUCCUAUGCCUUCCAAACUUUAGAAUUGGAGUGAAGUUUCACUCCCAGACCUACACUAUGCGUCAAAGGUACAGCUGUAUCGUCGUAUUCGUGUCAUCCUUUUCAUAUCCAUUUUCCCUGGAAUUUGGGGUAAAGGUACACCUAGAAGCUUCAUCCUAACCAUCAAUCUGCUCUAGGAUCUAUACCCUCCAAUUGUUUGGUUCGAAAGCUUCAAGAUCUUGCUGGAUUCCCUAUGGAUUAUUUGCUUUCCCUGGUAUCUUCAUCCUUAGGCAGAUAUGUGCUUAUAAAUUGCCCCUUUGAUUGUGUGGUUUCUCAUCCUUUGUUCUUCAUUCAAUUCCAUUAGUAGUUUUCCUUUUUCCUGUUGUAUUGAGUUUCUCCUUGGGUUCUUCAUCCAGUUCCCUCUCCCAUUCUUCUUUUCUCUCUUUCAAAGAGACAAAAUGUAUCGUAUUACCUUAAUUUCUAUUUGUAUAUUUGGUCUGUUAUUUCAAGUCGGAGGUUCAAAUGCUUGGGAAGAGAAAUAAAUUGCAUUAGGUAUAACUCUAACUCAACUUGGGUUAAGAAAAAUACUUUAACACAUUGUCGCUCUUUUAGUGGGUGAUGUUCCAGUUUCUCAAUUAAGUCUCUUGCUGCUUUCAGAAAGUCAGUUACAAAUUGAAGGUGAGGGAAGUUUAAAUAGAAAAAAGGAGUAGUUUAAUUAAGUAGUGUUUUUGUAUCUUUAAUUGGACUUAUUUAUGCAUCUACUUUAUUGUGUUAUAUGGUAUGUUUUUGGAUUCUCAUAAGUAAGGAUCAUCUGAUGGUAAUGGUUAAGAGCUUGCUCUGAAAUCUGAUAUGUUUCUGGUACAAGAAGAGUUGCAGGUGUCGAAUUAGCAAAAGUUAUUUGCAUAUUUCUUUUUUUCUGCCCCAUUCUUCUAUUUGUUGACUUCUUUUGGGUACUCAAUCUUAACCAAUCUUUAUCAUUUCUGUAAGUAGAAUGGUAAAGGAUAAAAGUAUAGUCAUUGGGACCGUCUACUGUGUGUUACUUUUCAAUAAAAUUUUGGAUGCAUAUAAUUAAAACUGUUUGAUAUCCUGUUAAUAAUAUUAUGAGAACAGUGACUUUGUUGAACAAGAUUUAUGCUGAGCAUAUUAAUCAAAUGAGUUCAGUUAGUUAUUAGUUUUCAAUAUAUUGCUUUUGUGAUGAUUGAAGGUGAUAAUUUGAUACUAAAUUAUUCUUUUAGUGGCAAUGGAAGAAUGUUGUUAUGAGUUUUAUUUUCAUCUAUGCAUUAUACUUUUAUGAUCAGCAUAUUUUCUUCCUUCUGUGACUUCUAUAACCAACAAUGGUGAUGGUUUCACUCUUGCUCCAGCUCAUUGUCUUUUUGGGCAGCCUUGGGGUUCUAUCUGUUGAAAAUUAACUGACACCGAGUGAAUGAUUUUAUCGGUUUGCUUCUAAGAAAGAUUCAAUACUCCUUCGGUUGUAAUGCUCACUGACUUGAUAUUAGUAUUAGUUCAAGUGUGUGGCAAUUUGCUUCUAUUUAGUUUGGAUGUGGAAAUCUUCCUGGAACGUGAUGGAUCAAGCGGAGAAGCAACAAAGCAGCUACACAUAGGCAUACAUGUCUGGACAACAGAGAACUGAAAAACUUGCAGGAGCUAUGGCGGUGAGAGGAUACAAUGCUAAUUUGCAUAGUUUAGGUUUUAUUAUUAAUUUUUCAAAUUACAUUGACUCAUGAUAUGAUACUUUGUACUUUUGAGUUAUUGGUCGAGACUUGAGAAUCAAUUGCACUUUAUAUUAUGUACAUAUCAAACAGUUUGGAAUGUGGUCAAGUAUGUUUUAUGAGAACUUUUUUUAUGAUUGUCAAUGUUAAUUUAUGAAGUUCGAAGAAACUUCACAUGAAUACUACAU
Long non-coding RNA from Lotus japonicus, 3469 nucleotides. RefSeq lists it as uncharacterized. The record is from RefSeq and is a predicted model, not a curated record. Lineage: Eukaryota; Viridiplantae; Streptophyta; Magnoliopsida; Fabales; Fabaceae. The transcript is spliced from 6 exons.